This 482-nucleotide ribosomal RNA is filed under the name uncultured bacterium. RNAcentral describes it as "partial 16S ribosomal RNA". It matches the Rfam family "Bacterial small subunit ribosomal RNA", at positions 30 to 507 of the family's 1533-position model. The record is from RNAcentral.
AUUGAACGCUGGCGGCAUGCUUUACACAUGCAAGUCGAACGGUAACAGGCCGCAAGGUGCUGACGAGUGGCGAACGGGUGAGUAAUGCAUCGGAGCGUGCCCAGUCGUGGGGGAUAACUACUCGAAAGAGUAGCUAAUACCGCAUACGAUCUAUGGAUGAAAGCGGGGGACCUUAAGGCCUCGCGCGAUUGGAGCGGCCGAUGUCAGAUUAGGUAGUUGGUGGGGUAAAGGCUCACCAAGCCAACGAUCUGUAGCUGGUCUGAGAGGACGACCAGCCACACUGGGACUGAGACACGGCCCAGACUCCUACGGGAGGCAGCAGUGGGGAAUUUUGGACAAUGGGCGCAAGCCUGAUCCAGCAAUGCCGCGUGCAGGAAGAAGGCCUUCGGGUUGUAAACUGCUUUUGUACGGAACGAAACGGCUCUGGUUAAUACCCGGGGCUAAUGACGGUACCGGAAGAAUAAGCACCGGCUAACUACGUG